This 83-nucleotide non-coding RNA is filed under the name unclassified sequences. Its description in RNAcentral is "c-di-GMP sequence". It matches the Rfam family "c-di-GMP-II-GAG riboswitch aptamer". The record is from Rfam by way of RNAcentral.
ACACACACGGGAGGCUCUGACGCGCGGCCCGCACACGGCCGCCGGGACCGCGCCGAGCCACUGGCGAGACCGACCCGCAGGGU